Molecule: ribosomal RNA, 480 nt
Filed under: uncultured bacterium
Lineage: Bacteria
Description: partial 16S ribosomal RNA
Rfam family: Bacterial small subunit ribosomal RNA
Source: RNAcentral
GAUGAACGCUGGCGGCGUGCUUAACACAUGCAAGUCGAGCGAUGAAGUUUCCUUCGGGAAACGGAUUAGCGGCGGACGGGUGAGUAACACGUGGGUAACCUGCCUCAUAGAGUGGAAUAGCCUUCCGAAAGGAAGAUUAAUACCGCAUAAUGUUGAAAGAUGGCUUCAUCAUUUAACCAAAGGAGCAAUCUGCUAUGAGAUGGACCCGCGGCGCGUUAGCUAGUUGGUGGGGUAACGGCCUACCAAGGCGACGAUGCGUAGCCGACCUGAGAGGGUGAUCGGCCACAUUGGGACUGAGACACGGCCCAGACUCCUACGGGAGGCAGCAGUGGGGAAUAUUGCACAAUGGGGGAAACCCUGAUGCAGCAACGCCGCGUGAGUGAUGAAGGUUUUCGGAUCGUAAAGCUCUGUCUUUGGGGAAGAUAAUGACGGUACCCAAGGAGGAAGCCACGGCUAACUACGUGCCAGCCGCCGCAGUAA